This 288-nucleotide unclassified non-coding RNA is filed under the name uncultured fungus. RNAcentral describes it as "partial contains 5.8S rRNA, ITS2 and 28S rRNA". It matches the Rfam family "Eukaryotic large subunit ribosomal RNA", at positions 668 to 961 of the family's 3401-position model. Lineage: Eukaryota; Fungi. The record is from RNAcentral.
AAGGAGUCCAACACAUACGCGAGUGUUUGGGUGGCAAACCCGAGCGCGAAAUUAAAGGGAAUGUAUGCGGGAUCCUUCGCGGGCACCAUCGACCGUUCUGGAUUCUUGUGAAAGGUCUGAGUAAGAGCGUAAUUGUUGGGACCCGAAAGAUGGUGAACUAUGACUGUUUAGGGUGAAGUCAGAGGAAACUCUGAUGGAAGCUCGUAGCGGUUCUGACGUGCAAAUCGGUCGUCAAAAUUGGGUAUAGGGGCGAAAGACUAAUCGAACCAUCUAGUAGCUGGUUCCCUC